CAAGUCGAGCGAUGAAGCACCUUCGGGUGUGAAUUAGCGGCGAACGGGUGAGGAACACGUGAGAAAUCUGCCUUCAACUCUGGGAUAACUCCGUGAAAACGGGGCUAAUACCGGAUAUGAAACCUGCGGGCAUCCGCGGGUUUGGAAAGUUUUUCGGUUGAAGAUGAUCUCGCGGCCUAUCAGCUUGUUGGUGAGGUAAUGGCUCACCAAGGCGACGACGGGUAGCCGGCCUGAGAGGGCGACCGGCCACACUGGGACUGAGACACGGCCCAGACUCCUACGGGAGGCAGCAGUGGGGAAUAUUGGGCAAUGGAGGAAACUCUGACCCAGCGACGCCGCGUGCGGGAUGAAGGCCUUCGGGUUGUAAACCGCUUUCAGCAGGGAAGAAGCGAGAGUGACGGUACCUGCAGAAGAAGCACCGGCUAACUAUGUGCCAGCAGCCGCGGUAAUACAUAGGGUGCAAGCGUUGUCCGGAAUUAUUGGGCGUAAAGAGCUCGUAGGUGGUUCGUCACGUCGGAUGUGAAACUCUGGGGCUUAACCCCAGACCUGCAUUCGAUACGGGCGAGCUUGAGUAUGGUAGGGGAGUCUGGAAUUCCUGGUGCAGCGGUGGAAUGCGCAGAUAUCAGGAGGAACACCAAUGGCGAAGGCAGGACUCUGGGCCAUUACUGACACUGAGGAGCGAAAGCGUGGGGAGCGAACAGGAUUAGAUACCCUGGUAGUCCACGCCGUAAACGGUGGGCACUAGUUGUGGGGACCUUCCACGGUCUCUGCGACGCAGCUAACGCAUUAAGUGCCCCGCCUGGGGAGUACGAUCGCAAGAUUAAAACUCAAAGGAAUUGACGG
Molecule: ribosomal RNA, 843 nt
Filed under: uncultured bacterium
Lineage: Bacteria
Description: bacterial SSU rRNA
Rfam family: Bacterial small subunit ribosomal RNA
Source: RNAcentral